This 253-nucleotide ribosomal RNA is filed under the name uncultured bacterium. RNAcentral describes it as "partial 16S ribosomal RNA". It matches the Rfam family "Bacterial small subunit ribosomal RNA", at positions 524 to 776 of the family's 1533-position model. The record is from RNAcentral.
UACGGGGGGAGCGAGCGUUGUCCGGAAUUACUGGGCGUAAAGAGCUCGUAGGUGGUUUGUCGCGUUGUUCGUGAAAACUCACAGCUUAACUGUGGGCGUGCGGGCGAUACGGGCAGACUGGAGUACUGCAGGGGAGACUGGAAUUCCUGGUGUAGCGGUGGAAUGCGCAGAUAUCAGGAGGAACACCGGUGGCGAAGGCGGGUCUCUGGGCAGUAACUGACGCUGAGGAGCGAAAGUGUGGGGAGCGACCAGG